GGCAUGGUGGCCAAGUGGUAAGGCGUCGGUCUCGUAAACCGAACAUCAUGGGUUCAAAUCCCAUCCGUGCGUUCA
Salvelinus fontinalis (brook trout) is the source of this 75-nucleotide non-coding RNA. The record is from the annotation of a RefSeq genome assembly. NCBI's taxonomy places the organism in Eukaryota, Metazoa, Chordata, Actinopteri, Salmoniformes, Salmonidae.